RNAcentral lists this ribosomal RNA (424 nucleotides) under Gerris pingreensis. RNAcentral's name for it is "partial 16S ribosomal RNA". The record is from RNAcentral. RNAcentral also lists the same sequence under 1 other name. Lineage: Eukaryota; Metazoa; Arthropoda; Insecta; Hemiptera; Gerridae.
GAUAUGAACUCUCCGAAAAAAUUACGCUGUUAUCCCUAAGGUAAGUUAAUCUUAUAAUCAAAAAUUCUGGAUCAAAAAAACAUAAAUUAAUGAAUUUAAAUAUUAAAAGUUUAAUAAAUUUUAAUGUCACCCCAACAAAACUUUAUAUUCUAAAAAAUUGUUUAAUUAACAAAAAACAGUAAUUUAUAAAUAAAGUAAACUUCUAUAGGGUCUUCUCGUCCUAUAAAAAAAUUUUAGCUUUUUAACUAAAAAAUUAAAUUCAAAAUAAUUUAAAAAAGAAAGUUUAUUUUUCAUCAAACCAUUCAUACUAGCCUUCAAUUAAAAGACAAAUGAUUAUGCUACCUUCGUACAGUUAAAAUACCGCAGCCUUUUAAUUCGUAAAAAUCAAUGGGCAGGUCUGAUCUUAAAUUAAAAUCAAAAGACC